CGGAUGCUGAAAGAGAAAAAGGAAAAAUAGAGUUCACGCCGUCAUCUCGUUAAUGAGAAACCGCAUCAGCUAUGAGCGAUCCGCGCUAUCCUGUCGAAGUCCGACUCAUCGGAGUAAUGAAGAAAGGCAAGGACAAUAAGUUCAUGACAUCCGUGCGGUGGUCAGACCAGACUGAGCUGAUAGUGUACAGAUCCUUCCGGGACUUCAAAACGCUCCAUAAGCAACUGAAAAAGAAGUGUCCUGUGGAUAACGAUUUUCGUAAAGAAGAUAGAGUGCUUCCCAGAUUUGGAGCCCAGUGCAUGGUGACUUCAUUUCAGCUGAAAGGUCUGGAUAAGUCAGUGUCCCGUCUAAGGUGUCUAGAAAAAUACUGUUCCAGCCUGUUGCAGUGUGAUACAACUGUGACACAUUCCUCAGAAGUCAUUAAAUUCUUCCUGCCAACUGAAAAGGAGCUUCUGCCAGAAUAUACCCAAAACAGUAUAAUGAUUCUGCAAUCAGAUAACAUCAACACCGUUAGCGGAGGACCUGACUUGGCAAAUAAACGUCUGAGCAUUGGAAAUGUGACCCAGCCUUUUGUAUCUAAGACAUAUCGAUGUGUGGCUCCAUUUGAGACAAAAGACACAAAGAACAAGCCAUUCAAAGUAACCGUGGAUGAAAGACUGGAUGUGCUGAUCAAAGACAAAGCAGGUUGGUGGCUUGUUGAGAAUGAGGAUAAAUGUCUAGCUUGGUUUCCUGCUCCCUACUUGGAGUUAUGUGAUGAGGAUGGAAAUGAAGAUGAUUAUGAUUCAGUUACCUUUGAAAGUUCUCUGUUCUGCUGUACAAGAAGUUACACCUCGAAAAAAGAGGACGAGCUCUCUCUAAGCAUUGGUGCUGUUGUGGAGGUGUUACAGAGAUCUGAUAAUGGCUGGUGGCUUGUAAGAUAUAACAGAAAAGUAGGCUAUGUGCCCUCUAUGUACCUGAAGCUAUACAGCAGCCCCUUUGGCCUUCAGACUCUUCAGAGGAAACUUCACAGCUCCACUAUCAACCUGUCUGCCAGCAACUCUUUAAAACUGGAGCCUCAGGUGCACUCACGGAGCAGAAUUAAUAGUUUCCUCAAAUCAAACUCUCUGGAAGUGCUGUCAGAGCAGGUACAGCACGAGGAAGCUGGCAGCUUCAGCGAUGAUGGAACCGACUUCAGCUUCAGUUCCUCAGACGCUACCUCCAUGAGCUCAAGCAUGUCCAGCUCAGAGGGGGAAGAGGGCCUGAGACAGCAGUAUAAAGAGCCAAACAGCCAUGAUAGUGGUAUGUCCAGUGCCCAGUCAACCUCCACCGACUCAGACAGUAGUUACCCUAUGAAAGGACUCGGAGCUCCCAGGGUGCCACCCAGACCACAAACUCAGGAGAUCCUACGUCGCUGCACGACGUACACUCGUAAAGUUGCUCUCGCAACCUCUGCUCGCCGGGCCUCCGACAGUUGAAGUCAUGGUAAAUAAAUGGACCAUAUGAAAGAGAUGUCUUUUUGCCUCUACAAAUUAUUCAGCAUACAGCUUCUGUAUUAGCUGUGCCCUGGUCUCACAAAACAAAAUGGAUUCUCUGAUGAACAGAAGUUCAACAGAAAUUCAUUGGCCGUUUAUCAAUCAAGGUAAGUAACGUUUUACCACUCCACAUGUCUGUGUUAUUAGUUUUAAAAAUGCGAAGCAGGGCUGCAGGGCCACUUUUCCACUUCCUACCGAAAUCUCCAGCUGUCCGUGUGAGAGGCAGCUCUGUCCUCAUGAGGGCUGUGGGCAGCAGCAGGUGCUGAGGAAGGAUGCGCAGGCGUAUGAUCAGAGCUGCAGCCACUGGCGACAGCUGUGUCCCAUGUCACAUGGCACAGCUGCACUGUGUAGCCGAGCGGUGGAGACAGAGGUCCAUCGCAGCAAGCCUGCGCAGGAAAAUGCAGUGAAUUCAGAGCCGGAUGACACACAUAAGGAGGGAAAUAAACCUGAUGUAUGAGAGACUGGAGGUUGAUGAUCUAGCGAUUGAAGAAGGAGAGAGAGCCAGUGUUUGGAUAUGGUACAUAGAGGGCACAUAGCCUAUCAUAGAUGGUAAUGCUGCCAGUCCGAGCAGCAGCAGACACUGUCACACGUAUACGGUCUUUGAAUAAAGUCAUUAUUUUUGUUUUCUUCACUUACAAACAGUAUUCUCAUCACUUCAUAACUAUAUGGUUUAACUACUGAUGGCAGAAGGACUAUUUUGACGACGUCUUUCAUACUUUCUAGAUUUUGACAGUGUAACUUACUUGGCAGUCUAUGGGACAGUCACAAUCCUCUCGGUUUUGGCCCUUUUGCCUUCUGUCUCCAGUCCAGCUCACCCCUAAACCA
Molecule: RNA transcript, 2336 nt
Organism: Carassius auratus (goldfish)
Lineage: Eukaryota; Metazoa; Chordata; Actinopteri; Cypriniformes; Cyprinidae
Gene name: NADPH oxidase organizer 1
Exons: 10
Source: RefSeq, a predicted model, not a curated record